This 301-nucleotide ribosomal RNA is filed under the name uncultured bacterium. RNAcentral describes it as "partial 16S ribosomal RNA". It matches the Rfam family "Bacterial small subunit ribosomal RNA", at positions 509 to 807 of the family's 1533-position model. The record is from RNAcentral.
CAGUCGCCGCGGGAAUACAGAGGGUGCGAGCGUUAAUCGGAUUUACUGGGCGUAAAGCGUGCGUAGGCGGCUAAUUGAGUCGGAUGUGAAAUCCCCGAGCUUAACUUGGGAAUUGCAUUCGAUACUGGUUAGCUAGAGUGUGGGAGAGGAUGGUAGAAUUCCAGGUGUAGCGGUGAAAUGCGUAGAGAUCUGGAGGUAUACCGAUGGCGAAGGCAGCCAUCUGGCCUAACACUGACGCUGAGGUACGAAAGCAUGGGGAGCAAACAGGAUUAGAUACCCGCGUAGUCCCUGUCUCUUAUAC